CUCAUUUCACAUGACACCUCUCUGCGCCUCCACACCCCUCUCCUCCAGAUGCUCCAUCGGUGGCAGCUCUCCGCUUGCACCGCUGUCGCACUAAACUUUCAUCACAACGAAGCUCCGUCACAUCCCCUCCUGGCUUUUCUUUGUGUGUUGCUUGUAUUACUUCGUAUCGAACCCUAAUGUGCAAAAAUCACAGAAAUCACUCUAUUUCGACCUCGCCUUAGCUUUGCAGGUAACCCUAAUCUCUUCCACGCCUUUAUCACUCUUCCUAUUUACUACUACACUGAUGCCAGCCUUUCCUCCUGUUUGCCAUUUUUCGUUGAACUUUUUUGCAUCUCGUCCGAUUCACCACCUCUCCUCGAACUUUGCAACACACUGUCGUCGUUCUAGUCCUGAUCUGCUACCACUCAUAGAAUUUUCCUGUUCCAGAAUAUCGAGAAUCUAUCCUCAUAUUCGGAAUCAUUUGAGAUCCCACGUGGCCAAGGUCGUGGUGGUGAACACCAUUAAUCAACUUUUCUUUCUUUUUCCCCCUUCAAUUUUGUAAAAUUAGAGAAUGACUUUAAAAUCCAUGUUCAAUCAUGUCAUCUCAUGGAAUGUAUGGAUUUUCUCCCUUGUCUUGUAAAUUCAAGAGCUCGAUAAACAAUAUGCUAAGCUGGAUAUGCUUUUGAGAAGGCUCAAGGGUUGGGAUUCCAUGUUGAAUUUACUUGGUUUGAAGCUUUGAACUACAUACAGAAAAGGGAAGAAAGGAUAGCUAAGUAAGAUAUUUUCACGUAACAUAAUUUGUAUAGGCAAAUAGAUGAGUACAAUCAGUCAUUUCAUUAAUUAAAGCACAGAUCAAGCUGUAUCGGCAAUGUUGGCUAGUGUACGUCAACAUUAGAGAGAUGACGUUUAUCCUAAGUCUUGAUCAAGAAGCUGGGAAGAGCGUAACAUGUGUGCUUCACUUAAGUCCUGCUUCUGUUGUAAGUUCUUCAGAUUACCAGAAAUGGAUGAAGAAAUUUGGUUCUGCACAGCAUAUCAUGGCUAGGCAUGGAAAAUAAGUUGCUAGUUUUUCUGGGAAUUGCUCAUUUUUUUGUUUCUACUACAACACAUUAUUUAUUACUCUUGUUUGCUUCUAUUGUUCUCAGGAAGAAUGUAGAGAUUCCUAUCUUGAAAGCUAGUGCAAGAAUUGCAUCUCGACUUAAUUAUGUUUGUCCUUAGUUCUUUCCAGCCCCAGGAUUUAGUUCCCGCAGCAAAUCAGACAAAGAAAGAUUUAGUUCCCAUAGCAGAUCAAAAUAUGAUGAUUCAGGAACCUUGGUUGUGUGAUUCUACUGUUCCUUCUUGUUUGGAAAAUAGAAGGAGAUAUGACUUGGAGAUAGUUCUUCUUGGAGCCGGUUCAUCCCAACAAUCCAAGUACAGAAACAUGAGUUCAAUAUAUAUAAAUCUUUUCUCAAAAAGAGGUUUGCUCUUGGAUUGUGGUGAAGGAACCUUGGGACAACUCAAAAGAAG
This is a long non-coding RNA of Arachis stenosperma, 1482 nucleotides long. RefSeq lists it as uncharacterized. Lineage: Eukaryota; Viridiplantae; Streptophyta; Magnoliopsida; Fabales; Fabaceae. The record is from RefSeq and is a predicted model, not a curated record. The transcript is spliced from 6 exons.